Molecule: long non-coding RNA, 395 nt
Organism: Xiphophorus couchianus (Monterrey platyfish)
Lineage: Eukaryota; Metazoa; Chordata; Actinopteri; Cyprinodontiformes; Poeciliidae
Exons: 3
Source: RefSeq, a predicted model, not a curated record
CAAUUCUGCUUGAAAAAGAUUCUUGCUUAUAGCAAAGUUUGGGCUUUCUCCCCAUGACUUGGAUCGUCUCUGGUAGAUCUUCUGCUGGGCUAAUCAGCGAACACAAGGACAAGUUGUAGUUCAUGAGGCUGGUCCCAUGUUGCCAGAUGAGGGGGGAGGUGCAGCUCAGUGGCUUCACGCCAAUCUCCUGACUGCGGUUCAGCUCCCGCACGGCGCUCACCACCACGUGAACAGCAUCAAACAUCAGGGCAGAUGACAGCUAGGCAUGAGAUAAAUGAAUAAGUUCAGGCUCCUGAUGAAAUCCAGGUAGAAAGGAUGGGAAAUGUUCAACAUGGAGAAACCAACGAUGUUGGACUGGUCACCCACAACAUCAUCUAGCUGGAGCAGAGGGAAAU